GGUCACGCCUGCCAGUGACUAACCACUUACUUAAACGGCCGCGGUAUCCUAACCGUGCAAAGGUAGCGUAAUCACUUGUCCCCUAAAUAGGGACUAGUAUGAACGGCUAAAUGAGGGCCCAACUGUCUCCUUUGAUUAAUCAGUGAAAUUGAUCAACCAGUACAAAAGCUGGUAUAAACACAUAAGACGAGAAGACCCCGUGGAGCUUAAAAUACUUAUGCCAAACCGACAUCUACCGAUAAAAAUGCCAUAACAUUUUCAGUUGGGGCGACUACGGAAAUAAACCAAACUUCCAAGCCAAGGGCCUAUCCCCACCCCCCCCCCAGACAAACAUGUCAUCACCACAUGACCCAGAACUACUCUGAGUGACGAACCAAGUUACCCCGGGGAUAACAGCGCCAUCUUCUUCAAGAGUCCCCAUCGACAAGAAGGUUUACGACCUCGAUGUUGGAUCAGGACACCCAAAUGGUGCAGCCGCUAUUAAAGGUUCGUUUGUUCAACGAUUAAAGUCCUACGUGAUC
This 521-nucleotide ribosomal RNA is filed under the name Dopasia gracilis (Burmese glass lizard). RNAcentral describes it as "partial 16S ribosomal RNA". It matches the Rfam family "Bacterial large subunit ribosomal RNA", at positions 1851 to 2605 of the family's 2925-position model. Lineage: Eukaryota; Metazoa; Chordata; Lepidosauria; Squamata; Anguidae. The record is from RNAcentral. RNAcentral also lists the same sequence under 1 other name.